This 103-nucleotide microRNA precursor is filed under the name Marmota monax (woodchuck). Lineage: Eukaryota; Metazoa; Chordata; Mammalia; Rodentia; Sciuridae. The record is from RNAcentral.
GUUGGGAUAACUGGGUCGAAUGGUGAUUCCAUUCCUAGUUUUUUGAGGAAUCUCCAUACUGCUUUCCAGAGUGGUUGCACCAACUUGCAGUCCUACCAGUUAU